This 297-nucleotide signal recognition particle RNA is filed under the name Aotus nancymaae (Ma's night monkey). RNAcentral describes it as "Metazoan signal recognition particle RNA (ENSANAG00000004364.1)". It matches the Rfam family "Metazoan signal recognition particle RNA". From Rfam's summary of the family: The signal recognition particle (SRP) is a universally conserved ribonucleoprotein. It is involved in the co-translational targeting of proteins to membranes. The eukaryotic SRP consists of a 300-nucleotide 7S RNA and six proteins: SRPs 72, 68, 54, 19, 14, and 9. Lineage: Eukaryota; Metazoa; Chordata; Mammalia; Primates; Aotidae. The record is from RNAcentral.
UCCGUGCAGUGGCACAUGCCUGUAGUCCCAGCUACUCAGGAGGCUGAGGCUGGAGGAUCACUUGAGUCCAGGAGUUCUAGGCUAUAGUGCGCUAUGCUGAUUGGGUGUCCGAACUAAGUUCAGCAUCAGUAUGGUGACCUCCAGGGAGCAGGGGACCACCAGACUGCCUACAGAGGAGUAAACCAACCCAGGUUGGAAACAGAGCAGGUCAAAACUCCCGUGCUGAUCAGUAGUGGGAUUGCACCUGUGAAUAGCCACGGCACUCCAGCUUGGGCAACAUAGCGAGACCCCAUCUCU